Small nuclear RNA from Erigeron canadensis, 103 nucleotides. The record is from RefSeq and is a predicted model, not a curated record. NCBI's taxonomy places the organism in Eukaryota, Viridiplantae, Streptophyta, Magnoliopsida, Asterales, Asteraceae.
GUCCCUUUGGGGGCAUCUGAUAAAAUUGGAACGAUACAGAGAAGAUUAAUAUGACCCCUGCGUAAGGAUGAGGCGCACAAAUCAAAAAAUGGUAUAAAAAAAA